Carica papaya (papaya) is the source of this 836-nucleotide non-coding RNA. NCBI's taxonomy places the organism in Eukaryota, Viridiplantae, Streptophyta, Magnoliopsida, Brassicales, Caricaceae. The record is from RefSeq and is a predicted model, not a curated record.
AAAAAAAGAACAAAGCUUGUCUUUUUCCAACGGUUGAUGUAUGGAGCCGUAAAAACAUUCUUGAACAAGUACAAGAAUUUAGACCUUCUGUUAUUAAAAAUUAAUUAAACGAACCCCCCUCAAAAAAAAAAAAAAAAUCUAUCUUGCACGAUCUUUCAGUAGUUCUGUUGGCCAUGGGAUCAUGUUGCAGAGAGUAUAGUUUGAAAUUUUCUUGAAUGUGAAUGGAGAGGUUCGUACCAACUGACAGGGAGAUUUCAACUCGGAGAUUUACCUAGCGACUGAAGUGAGUCACUGACGAGUGAGUAUCUUGGCGGGAUUUUGAAGGGUUGUUGAGACUCGAGUCGGGGGAGACGAUUAAGCAGCUUGUUUUCCUUUUUCUGUUUCGCUCGCUUCGUUUCCGUUUCGGAUUUCAUUUCUGGCAAAGGAUUAUAUAAAAUUUAUUCUUAUUAUUUUUGAAUCUCUCCCUCCUUUUUUUUUUUUUGAACUCUACAUUGUCUUUAUACAAAGAAGAUUCUAUCUAAGAAGCCAUAAAAUCAGCAGAAUUUUCGCCUAUAUACAAGGCAAGUUCAAUAAUGACUGAAAGCUGUGCAAAACGUUUAACGGUUACUUUCUCCUCUGCAAAGAAAACCCUUGACCAAGCUCGUGCGUGACUCUCUCUACUUUAAAUUCAUUAUCUUCAGUAUUUUGUCACAGCGAAGCUUUGCGGCGUGCCCAGAGGAUACUUCGAUAUUGAGAGUUUGAUUCACCCGGGUUAAGAUGAGAGGAGCCGCACUUGUAGCCAUUGUUGCAACCAUUGGUAACUUCUUGCAAGGAUGGGAUAAUGCAACAAUUGCAGG